Molecule: ribosomal RNA, 402 nt
Filed under: uncultured prokaryote
Description: bacterial SSU rRNA
Rfam family: Bacterial small subunit ribosomal RNA
Source: RNAcentral
UAGGGAAUAUUAGUAAUGGGCGAAAGCCUGAACUAGCAACACCGCGUGUGCGAAGAAGGCCUUCGGGUUGUAAAGCACUUUUUGAGAGGAUGAGGAAGGACGGUACUCUCAGAAUAAGUCUCGGCUAACUACGUGCCAGCAGCCGCGGUAACACGUAGGAGGCAAACGUUAUCCGGAUUUACUGGGCGUAAAGCGCGUGUAGGUGGUUUGGUAAGUAGAGCGUGAAAGCUCCUGGCUCAACUGGGAGAGGUCGUUCUAAACUGCCGGACUAGAGGAUGGUAGAGGGAGGUGGAAUUCCGCAUGUAGUGGUGAAAUGCGUAGAUAUGCGGAGGAACACCAGUGGCGAAAGCGGCCUCCUGGCCCAUUUCUGACGCUCAGACACGAAAGCUAAGGUAGCAAACG